Molecule: ribosomal RNA, 440 nt
Filed under: uncultured bacterium
Lineage: Bacteria
Description: partial 16S ribosomal RNA
Rfam family: Bacterial small subunit ribosomal RNA
Source: RNAcentral
CCUACGGGUGGCAGCAGUGGGGAAUAUUGCACAAUGGGGGAAACCCUGAUGCAGCGACGCCGCGUGGGUGAAGGAGCGUUUCGGCGCGUAAAGCUCUAUCGGCAGGGAAGAAGAUGACGGUACCUGACCAAGAAGCCCCGGCUAACUACGUGCCAGCAGCCGCGGUAAUACGUAGGGGGCAAGCGUUAUCCGGAUUUACUGGGUGUAAAGGGGGCGCAGGCGGCAAUGCAAGCCAGGAGUGAAAGCCCGGGGCCCAACCCCGGGAUUGCUGUUGAAACUGGAUGGCUGGAGUACAGGAGGGGCAGGCGGAAUUCCUGGUGUAGCGGUGAAAUGCGUAGAUAUUAGGAGGAACACCGGUGGCGAAGGCGGUCUGCUGGACUGUGACUGACGUUGAGGCUCGAAGGCGUGGGGAGCAAACAGGAUUAGAUACCCUUGUAGUC